GACGAACGCUGGCGGCGUGCUUAACACAUGCAAGUCGAACGGAAAGGCCCUGAUUUUGUGGGGUGCUCGAGUGGCGAACGGGUGAGUAACACGUGAGUAACCUGCCCUUGACUUUGGGAUAACUUCAGGUAACUGGGGCUAAUACCGGAUAGGAGCUCCUGCUGCAUGGUGGGGGUUGGAAAGUUUCGGCGUGUGGGGAUGGACUCGCGGCUUAUCAGCUUGUUGGUGGGGUAGUGGCUUACCAAGGCUGUGACGGGUAGCCGGCCUGAGAGGGUGACCGGCCACAAUGGGACUGAGAUACGGACCAGACUGGUACGGGAGGCAGCAGGGGGGAAUAUUGCACAGUGAGCGGAAGCCUGAUGCAGCAACGCCGCGUGCGGGAUGACGGCCUUCGGGGUGUAAACAGCUUUCGCCUGUGACGAAGCGUGAGUGACGGUAAUGAGUAAAGAAGCACCGGCUAACUACGUG
Molecule: ribosomal RNA, 468 nt
Filed under: uncultured bacterium
Lineage: Bacteria
Description: partial 16S ribosomal RNA
Rfam family: Bacterial small subunit ribosomal RNA
Source: RNAcentral